GGGGUUGACUGGAUUUGACAGCGGGCAGAAAUGGUAUGUAAGCAUGCAGUGCGUCGGUGAUUUGCACUUAAAUCUCAGUUAUCAAAAUUUUAUCUGGCGAAAAUAAUUACGCUCUUGCUGCUUAAUCGAAUCAUAGUAGAUUAGCUUUAUCUCUGCACUAGGUGCGGAGACGAGACAUCACUCGGUUGCUGUUGUUCCGAAGCGUUCCGGUUUAGUGGUGCAGUUAUAUCGGAAAUAGUUUGGGUCCCGUCUCGUGGCUCUUGCGAAAAUUUAGAGACUAAGGUACUGGUUGGUGGCUUCGGUCUUGCCGUACUCGAAAAAUUAGGCGAAGAUAAGCAUGUAGAAAGCUUAUGAUUUCCUCGUUUGGACGAGGGUUCGAUUCCCUCCAGCUCCACUU
Molecule: transfer-messenger RNA, 397 nt
Filed under: Bacteroidaceae
Lineage: Bacteria; Pseudomonadati; Bacteroidota; Bacteroidia; Bacteroidales
Also listed under: 1 other name
Description: Bacteroides_G luti Standard tmRNA
Rfam family: transfer-messenger RNA
About the family: Bacterial tmRNA, also known as 10Sa RNA or SsrA, is named for its dual tRNA and mRNA-like properties. Its role is to liberate the mRNA from a stalled ribosome.
Source: RNAcentral